UACGUAGGGUGCAAGCGUUGUCCGGAAUUAUUGGGCGUAAAGAGCUCGUAGGCGGCUUGUCACGUCGGGUGUGAAAGCCCGGGGCUUAACCCCGGGUCUGCAUUCGAUACGGGCUGGCUAGAGUGUGGUAGGGGAGAGCGGAAUUCCUGGUGUAGCGGUGAAAUGCGUAGAUAUCGGGAGGAACACCAGUGGCGAAGGCGACUUCCUGGCCUGUUCUUGACGCUGAGGCGCGAAAGCUAGGGUAGCAAACGGG
This 253-nucleotide ribosomal RNA is filed under the name uncultured bacterium. RNAcentral describes it as "partial 16S ribosomal RNA". It matches the Rfam family "Bacterial small subunit ribosomal RNA", at positions 524 to 776 of the family's 1533-position model. The record is from RNAcentral.